RNAcentral lists this ribosomal RNA (253 nucleotides) under uncultured bacterium. RNAcentral describes it as "partial 16S ribosomal RNA". It matches the Rfam family "Bacterial small subunit ribosomal RNA", at positions 524 to 776 of the family's 1533-position model. The record is from RNAcentral.
UACGGAGGGUGCAAGCGUUAUCCGGAUUCACUGGGGUUAAAGGGUGCGUAGGCGGGUUGGUAAGUCCGUGGUGAAAUCCCCAAGCUUAAUUUGGGAACUGCCGUGGAUACUAUCAAUCUUGAAUAUCGUGGAGGUAAGCGGAAUAUGUCAUGUAGCGGUGAAAUGCUUAGAUAUGACAUAGAACACCAAUUGCGUAGGCAGCUUACUACACGAUCAUUGACGCUGAGGCACGAAAGCGUGGGGAGCAAACAGG